This 818-nucleotide ribosomal RNA is filed under the name Terrisporobacter glycolicus. Its description in RNAcentral is "bacterial SSU rRNA". It matches the Rfam family "Bacterial small subunit ribosomal RNA", at positions 75 to 904 of the family's 1533-position model. Lineage: Bacteria; Bacillati; Bacillota; Clostridia; Peptostreptococcales; Peptostreptococcaceae. The record is from RNAcentral.
UACCCUUGGGUUGUGAGGUAGCGGGCGCGCACGCGUGUCGUAGUAACGCGUGAAGUAACCUGCCUCAUACACAUGGAUAACAUACCGAAAGGUAUGCUAAUACAGGAUAACAUAAGAGAUUCACAUGUAUUUCUUAUCAAAGCUCCGGCGGUAUGAGAUGGACCCGCGUCUGAUUAGCUAGUUGGUAAGGUAACGGCUUACCAAGGCGACGAUCAGUAGCCGACCUGAGAGGGUGAUCGGCCACAUUGGAACUGAGACACGGUCCAAACUCCUACGGGAGGCAGCAGUGGGGAAUAUUGCACAAUGGGCGAAAGCCUGAUGCAGCAACGCCGCGUGAGUGAUGAAGGCCUUCGGGUCGUAAAACUCUGUCCUCAAGGAAGAUAAUGACGGUACUUGAGGAGGAAGCCCCGGCUAACUACGUGCCAGCAGCCGCGGUAAUUUUUAUGGGGCUAGCGUUAUCCGGAUUUACUGGGCGUAAAGGGUGCGUAGGUGGUUUCUUAAGUCAGGAGUGAAAGGCUACGGCUCAACCGUAGUAAGCUCUUGAAACUGGGAGACUUGAGUGCAGGAGAGGAAAGUGGAAUUCCUAGUGUAGCGGUGAAAUGCGUAGAUAUUAGGAGGAACACCAGUAGCGAAGGCGGCUUUCUGGACUGUAACUGACACUGAGGCACGAAAGCGUGGGGAGCGAACAGGAUUAGAUACCCUGGUAGUCCACGCCGUAAACGAUGAGUACUAGGUGUCGGGGGUUACCCCCCUCGGUGCCGCAGCUAACGCAUUAAGUACUCCGCCUGGGGGAGUACGCUCGCAAGAAUGAAACUCAA